Molecule: long non-coding RNA, 1549 nt
Organism: Oncorhynchus keta (chum salmon)
Lineage: Eukaryota; Metazoa; Chordata; Actinopteri; Salmoniformes; Salmonidae
Exons: 4
Source: RefSeq, a predicted model, not a curated record
UUAGAUAACAAUGAUACAGUCAGGGUUGGGGUCAACUCCAGUCAAUUCAAGUACACUGAAAUUCCAAUUUCAAUUUUCUUCAAUGCUAAACAUUCUAGUAAAUUCUUACUCAGAUAAAAUUCAGCUGAAGGAAAAAAAAAAGUGUUUUCAUCUCAACACUCCUGCCAAAUGACACAAUUACAAACACUGCUAAUUCUUUGGAGAGCAGAAAUUAACAUAGGACUUAACAUUUUUGGCAUUUAAAAAACAAAUAAAUAUUUUCUCCAAAAAAAGGUUAACUUCAAAUCCAGCCUUGAGGCUAAUUGCAUUAAUAUCACAAUGGCUGCCAUUGUUUUGCAAGAGCACGCUCAAUCUCUCCUGACCCUGGGCCGAAUCAAAUCACACCAUGGAGGAGAAUAAUGAGAGCCAAUUACGAUCUGAGCCUGUCGUCAAACCAGGCGACAAACUGGACCCCCCCACUGUGAUAGGAGGGUUCACAUUGCCCUGGCAACAAGUGCAGUGAGUAGCAUUAGUCAAAGAGAGCACCCGGGGAAGAGAAGUACUCUUCCCCUAAAUGUAUUUCCAUUCUAAUUACAUUUACGUCUCCAGCAGUGGGCCCAGACAGAGAUCAAUCAAGACUUUGUGAUGCUGAGAGACAUCUUUAAGGAGACAGACAUGACACCCUGAGAUCCCUGGGAAAACAAGGGAAUGAUGGAGAGGGAAGUGAGAGAAUAGAGGGACGAUAGAAAACGAGAGGUACGGAGAGAGAGAGAGAGAGAGAGGGGUACAGAGAGAGAAUAGAGGGAGACAUAGAGAGUACGAUAGAAAACGAGAGGUACGGAGAGAGAGAGAGGGGUACAGAGAGAGAAUAGAGGGAGACAUAGAGAGUACGAUAGAAAACUAGAGGUACGGAGAGAGAGAGGGGUACAGAGAGAGAAUAGAGGGAGACAUAGAGAGUACGAUAGAAAACUAGAGGUACGGAGAGAGAGAGAGGGGUACAGAGAGAGAAUAGAGGGAGACAUAGAGAGUACGAUAGAAAACUAGAGGUACGGAGAGAGAGAGAGGGGUACAGAGAGAGAAUAGAGGGAGACAUAGAGAGUACGAUAGAAAACUAGAGGUACGGAGAGAGAGAGAGGGGUACAGAGAGAGAAUAGAGGGAGACAUAGAGAGUACGAUAGAAAACUAGAGGUACGGAGAGAGAGAGGGGUACAGAGAGAGAAUAGAGGGAGACAUAGAGAGUACGAUAGAAAACUAGAGGUACGGAGAGAGAGAGAGGGGUACAGAGAGAGAAUAGAGGGAGACAUAGAGAGUACGAUAGAAAACUAGAGGUACGGAGAGAGAGAGAGGGGUACAGAGAGAGAAUAGAGGGAGACAUAGAGAGUACGAUAGAAAACUAGAGGUACGGAGAGAGAGAGAGGGAGAGGGGUACAGAGAGAGAAAGAGAGACAGAGAGCGAGAUAUAUGCAGGCAGAAAAAGAUAGAUUCAGAGAAAACCUGUUUGAGAGAGAAGGAGCAUGAUAGGCAGAGAGAGAACGAGAUCUAGGGUUCAGUAAGACUGAGAAGGAUCUGA